GGUAGUGUGGCCGAGUGGUCUAAGGCGCUGGAUUGAGGCGUGGGUUCAAAUCCCACCACUGCCA
This 64-nucleotide transfer RNA is filed under the name Larimichthys crocea (large yellow croaker). It matches the Rfam family "tRNA". Rfam says of the family: Transfer RNA (tRNA) molecules are approximately 80 nucleotides in length. Their secondary structure includes four short double-helical elements and three loops (D, anti-codon, and T loops). Further hydrogen bonds mediate the characteristic L-shaped molecular structure. tRNAs have two regions of fundamental functional importance: the anti-codon, which is responsible for specific mRNA codon recognition, and the 3' end, to which the tRNAs corresponding amino acid is attached (by aminoacyl-tRNA synthetases). tRNAs cope with the degeneracy of the genetic code in two manners: having more than one tRNA (with a specific anti-codon) for a particular amino acid; and 'wobble' base-pairing, i.e. permitting non-standard base-pairing at the 3rd anti-codon position. The record is from Rfam by way of RNAcentral. Lineage: Eukaryota; Metazoa; Chordata; Actinopteri; Sciaenidae.